AGCUUUAAUAGCAUAUAUUAAAGUUGCUGCAGUUAAAAAGCUCGUAGUUGAAGGUUUGCACGGCUGAUAUCGUCCAUUCGGUUGAAGUCAGCUGUGCAUGUUUGGAUUGGUUCUGUAUGGCAUUAGGUUGUUGUAUGGAGGAUUUCCAUCAUUUACUGUGAAAAAAAUAGGGUGUUCAAAGCAGGCAUUUGCCGUUGAAUAUAUUAGCAUGGGAUAAUAAGAUAGGACCUUUGUGCUAUCUUGUUGGUUUAUGCACUUAGGUAAUGAUUAAUAGGGAUUGUUGGGGGUAUUUGUAUUCCACUGUCAGAGGUGAAAUUCUUGGAUUUUUGGAAGACACACAACUGCGAAAGCAUUUACCAAGGAUGUUU
RNAcentral lists this ribosomal RNA (368 nucleotides) under uncultured eukaryote. RNAcentral describes it as "SSU rRNA". It matches the Rfam family "Eukaryotic small subunit ribosomal RNA", at positions 587 to 969 of the family's 1831-position model. The record is from RNAcentral.